RNAcentral lists this ribosomal RNA (502 nucleotides) under uncultured bacterium. RNAcentral describes it as "partial 16S ribosomal RNA". It matches the Rfam family "Bacterial small subunit ribosomal RNA", at positions 28 to 507 of the family's 1533-position model. The record is from RNAcentral.
GAUGAAUGCUGGCGGCGUGCCUAACACAUGCAAGUCGAGCGGCAGCGAGUUUUACACUGAAUUCUGGAAGCUUCUGAGUAGUACAGAAGAUUUAUUCAAGAGUUUUGUGUAAAAUGUCGGCGAGCGGCGGACGGCUGAGUAACGCGUAGGAAUUUGCCCCAAAGUGAGGAAUAACUGCCCGAAAGGGUAGCUAAUGCCGCAUAUGGUCUUCGGAUUAAAGCCUUCGGGCGCUUUGGGAGAAGCCUGCGUUGGAUUAGGUAGUUGGUAGGGUAAUGGCCUACCAAGCCGACGAUCCAUAGCUGGUCUGAGAGGAUGAUCAGCCAGACUGGAACUGAGACACGGUCCAGACUCCUACGGGAGGCAGCAGUGAGGAAUCUUCCACAAUGGGCGAAAGCCUGAUGGAGCAACGCCGCGUGAAGGAUGAAGGCCUUCGGGUUGUAAACUUCUUUUAUGAGUGAAGGAUAUGACGGUAACUCAUGAAUAAGCACCGGCUAACUACGUG